GAUGUUUGUGUGAUUUUUAAAUGAUCUAAAUCGUCUGUCUCCAGUCGUCUGAGCCAGAGACCGUCAGCAGAAGAGCUGGAGCAGAGGAACAUCCUCAAACCACGGAACGAGCAGGAGGAGCUGGAGGAGAAGCGCGAGCUGAAGAAACGGCUCUCCAGGAAGUUGAGUCAGAGGCCCACCGUAGAGGAGCUCAGAGAGGCCAAGAUUCUCAUCCGCUUCAGUGAUUACGUGGAGGUGGCAGAAGCUCAGGAUUAUGACCGGCGCGCGGACAAACCCUGGACCAGACUCACUGCUGCUGAUAAGGUUCAUCUCCAUCACCCUGAGCUUCUCUGACUAAAUAAAAACUUGAUGCUUUCACGUUUGAAAAUUAAAGCAUAAAUG
Molecule: long non-coding RNA, 381 nt
Organism: Sinocyclocheilus grahami
Lineage: Eukaryota; Metazoa; Chordata; Actinopteri; Cypriniformes; Cyprinidae
Exons: 3
Source: RefSeq, a predicted model, not a curated record